UUGUUUAGAGCAGAAAAAGGUGGAUACACAGCUUGACAACAAACUCCCCAGACACAGAUUGAAUCACUGCUGCUAGAAACGAUGCUGCUCACAGAUUUCCAAGUCACUGCUUUCAAUCACUUUGAGCAAAACAGUUUAGCAAUCACUCCUGGGAUAGGAAAGCAUCCAUCGAUGGGUGCUUCAGAAUCUGGGCAGAAGCUGUAGGUCAUCUGGGAACUUCUCGCCAACUCUUUAUGAAUACUGAUGUUUCGGACCAUCCCGCAUCACGAAGCGCCUCAUGUCCAGGUUACACUCGUCUUCACUGCAGGUGUCCAGCUGUCUCUGCCGUUCCAGUGCACUACACUCAAGCUCAGCCUAUGUGAAUAACUACAACCAAUUGUCUACAUUUAUCCUAAUUGUAAAAUGCAAUGAACAAAGAAUCAUUCAGAGAGGUGUGAUGUGUGAUUGGACACCUGUGCACUGUAACCAGGGAUGCUGCUCAAUGUCCUGUAAGCUGGGGCGGUCGUCCGCUGCUGUUCUAAGACACCAUUUUAUCAACUGGCGGCAAUCUGUUACAUACAACACAAUACUUGACAUCAGUAACACAACAUUAACUUCUCGAUCUCUCUUUGAGAACAACUGAAUAUUUACUAUCACUUGCCUGCAGACAGAUGACUAGGGAAGCGCAGUCUGCGAAUCCUAUAUGCGCUUUUGAAAGGUACAGAACCGCACAGGAGGUUGUAGAGAGUCACACCCAGUGACCAAACAGUAGCUGGUCCUGCACGAUAGCUGUGGGAACGAAACCACUCAGGAGGGGUGUAUGAAAGAGUGCCUAAGAGACCCAAAAAGAGGAAGAGAUCAGCUGAAAAGGUUCCGGUUCAAAACAGAGAUGAUCACAAACAUAUCCAUGUAUAAGAACAUUCACCUGCAAACGAUUUGUACUCCGAGUCCUUCAGCAGGUGUCCACAGCCAAAAUCCAGCAGCUUGAGCUCAUGUGAAUCGGUGGAAAUUAGCAGGUUUUGUGGCUUGACGUCCCGGUGGAAAACCCCGCGGCUCUCGCAGUGUUUGAGAGCGUUGAUGAGCUGGACCAGCACUUUCUUCGUCUGGCUUUCAUCCAGACAGCCGUCAUUCUCCUCACAGAAUCUCUGCAGAUCUUGGCAAGGAUCCGGGCGUUCCAGGAUCAUGACGUAGUGGCCCGGAUAGUCAAACCAGUCCAGGAGCUGCAGGACAUUGGGGCAGGCAGGAGCUGAAUUGACCAUGAUCAUCAAAGCCACCUCCAGCGGCAGCAGACCCUGACCGUCCUGAAGUGGCAAAAGAGGACAUGAUAUUAUUAAAUUAUCGUCGGAGGGCUAAAUAAAUAUGCAUGCAAACCAAUAAACUUCAAAUAGCCGAAUUUCAAAACUGAACUUACAACUUCUAUCUUCUCGUGCUCCUCGUCUUUAAAGACGUACUUGAUGGCAACCUGCACACAGAUAAACAACAGUUAAUGACACCUGCUAAUUCAUGCUCUGCCACAGUAUCAUGAAUAAGGGGUGUUGAAUCAAUAUCUUACUGGCAAUCCAUCAGAGCUGCGGGUCCCAGCAUACACAGAUCCAAAUCCUCCUUGACCCAGCAAUGGACCCUUUGUGUACUCUUCUGCAACAUAAAGAAUGUUACUUUAGAUCAAUCAGUGGAUGAACAUUUUCAGUGGAAAUAAUUCGGGUAUGUUUUAAGAAUAAGCCUGACCUUCCCACGAGCGUUUGGUGGGUCUCUCGAAUGAAGUGGUGGGAUCUUCAUCCUCCGAGCUCGGCCUCUUCCUCUGACUUUGAGUCGACUCAGAAAGCAGAAGAGUGAUACUGCCAGACACCUCUUCCCUCUGUGAUUGGGUUGGUUUUGACAGUGGUUCCUGAAUCUGGAAACCAGAGCCCAAACUCCCAAACUCCUGACCAGCCAUCCAUGUAAAAUCAGCACUGGAGCAGCCUGAGGCAGAAAGAGCAGCAGCAGGCGUUUGGUGGGUCUCUCGAAUGAAGUGGUGGGAUCUUCAUCCUCCGAUCUCUUCCUCUUCCUUUGAGUCGAAUGUAGAGGAGCGAUAUUGUCAGACACCUUUUGACUCACUUUGGUUGGUUUUGACAGUGGUUUCUGAAUGUCAUCACCAAAGUCUAACCUCCCAAACUCUAGACCAGCCAUCUGGAUAGAUGGUAAAGCAGCACUGGAUCUGGAGCGGCCUGAGGCUGAAAGAAGAGCAAUUUAGAAAUUUAAAAUUUGUUCUUGUUAUUUUUAACAUUAUAACUAAAACAUGUGGCUCAAAAUAUUUCAGUUAUUUCAAAGGUUUUUACAAAUGCACCAAAACCCAGAAAGACACGCGACCAAGAAAACAAAUAUGACAAAAAAAAUAAGAUAAACAUAACAAACAAUUAGCUUUUUUUUCCAAUGAGAUUACAUUUUAUUGAAAGCUUGGAAAGC
Molecule: non-coding RNA, 2421 nt
Organism: Pimephales promelas (fathead minnow)
Lineage: Eukaryota; Metazoa; Chordata; Actinopteri; Cypriniformes; Leuciscidae
Source: RefSeq, a predicted model, not a curated record